This 74-nucleotide small nucleolar RNA is filed under the name Atractosteus spatula (alligator gar). RNAcentral describes it as "small Cajal body-specific RNA 18". It matches the Rfam family "small Cajal body-specific RNA 18". From Rfam's summary of the family: scaRNAs are a specific class of small nuclear RNAs which localise to the Cajal bodies and guide the modification of RNA polymerase II transcribed spliceosomal RNAs U1, U2, U4, U5 and U12. This C/D box domain U91 (also known as U4-8) was identified by Darzacq and is predicted to guide the 2'O-ribose methylation of U4 snRNA C8. The record is from Rfam by way of RNAcentral. Lineage: Eukaryota; Metazoa; Chordata; Actinopteri; Semionotiformes; Lepisosteidae. RNAcentral also lists the same sequence under 1 other name.
UGGUCAGUGAUGAAAGUCCACUGCGCAAUCUGAGUGAAAUGAUGGAGAUGUGCUGUUUGUCUCUUCUGAGGCCA